This 468-nucleotide ribosomal RNA is filed under the name uncultured bacterium. RNAcentral's name for it is "partial 16S ribosomal RNA". It matches the Rfam family "Bacterial small subunit ribosomal RNA", at positions 28 to 507 of the family's 1533-position model. The record is from RNAcentral.
GACGAACGCUGGCGGCGUGCUUAACACAUGCAAGUCGAACGGAAAGGCCCUGCUUUUGUGGGGUGCUCGAGUGGCGAACGGGUGAGUAACACGUGAGUAACCUGCCCUUGACUUUGGGAUAACUUCAGGAAACUGGGGCUAAUACCGGAUAGGAGCUCCUGCUGCAUGGUGGGGGUUGGAAAGUUUCGGCGGUUGGGGAUGGACUCGCGGCUUAUCAGCUUGUUGGUGGGGUAGUGGCUUACCAAGGCUUUGACGGGUAGCCGGCCUGAGAGGGUGACCGGCCACAUUGGGACUGAGAUACGGCACAGACUCCUACGGGAGGCAGCAGUGGGGAAUAUUGCACAAUGGGCGGAAGCCUGAUGCAGCAACGCCGCGUGCGGGAUGACGGCCUUCGGGUUGUAAACCGCUUUCGCCUGUGACGAAGCGUGAAUGACGGUAAUGGGUAAAGAAGCACCGGCUAACUACGUG